Molecule: long non-coding RNA, 334 nt
Organism: Oncorhynchus gorbuscha (pink salmon)
Lineage: Eukaryota; Metazoa; Chordata; Actinopteri; Salmoniformes; Salmonidae
Exons: 3
Source: RefSeq, a predicted model, not a curated record
CUCUGUCUCUGCUCCCCACCAGGCCAUCAACCUGCUGCCAGCCAACACUCAGAUCAGAGAGAUCCGUGUGUUCCUGGAGAGUGUUCUGGAGGAGAAGGCUCAGAGGAAACGCUUUGACCAGGUGCUCAAGAGCUUGCUGCAGGCUGAGUUCCUACGGGUCCAGGAGGAGCGUAUCUUUCACCAGCAGGUCAAGUGCACCAUCUCAGAAGAGAAGACCUGCCGGGUCUGUAAGAAGAAGAUAGGCAACAGCGCCUUCGCCAGGUAUCCCAACGGUGUUGUGGUUCAUUACUUCUGCUGUAAGGACCGAGGGGUGUGUCCUAUUGAGCAGUGACAC